AACGAACGCUGGCGGCAGGCCUAACACAUGCAAGUCGAGCGCCCGGAUUUAUCCGGGAGCGGCGCACGGGUGAGUAACGCGUGGGAACAUGCCCUGAAGUACGGAACAACCUGGGGAAACCUUGGCUAAUACCGUAUACGCCCUGAGGGGGAACGAUUUAUCGCUUUGGGAUUGGCCCGCGUUGGAUUAGCUGGUUGGUGUGGUAACGGCGCACCAAGGCGACGAUCCAUAACUGGUCUGAGAGGAGGACCAGUCACACUGGGACUGAGACACGGCCCAGACUCCUCCGGGAGGCAGCAGUGGGGAAUAUUGGACAAUGGGCGAAAGCCUGAUCCAGCCAUGCCGCGUGAGUGAAGAAGGCCUUCGGGUUGUAAAGCUCUUUCAGCGGGGACGAUGAUGACGGUACCCGCAGAAGAAGCCCCGGCUAACUUCGUGCCAGCAGCCGCCGUAA
This 451-nucleotide ribosomal RNA is filed under the name uncultured bacterium. RNAcentral's name for it is "partial 16S ribosomal RNA". It matches the Rfam family "Bacterial small subunit ribosomal RNA", at positions 29 to 523 of the family's 1533-position model. The record is from RNAcentral.